CCGCCCAGUGUAGAUUUGCGUCACGUAUGCUGUAUUUAUUUGGUUCAGUCUAGUUUGAUUACAUUCAUUUUAAGGUAUAAAUAAGCUAGUUUUGAGCCGAACUAAACAUUCACACGGUGGUACUACAGCACCAGCACGCAGCAGUUCGAUCCUCACCAGUCACCAUUAUUUGACUUUGCAAUCAAACUUCUUGUGGUCAAAAUGAAGCUCCUUUUUGCGUUGCUUGUCUAUGCCAUCACCAUAACCGACAUCUUUGGUCAAAACAAUAAAUAAUGAAUUCAACUGGAGGGACUACAAGAAAAACUUCGGGAAAAAUUACACGGGAAGUGAUGAUUCGAACCGGAAAGGAAAUUUCGUCAAAUAAGAUACGUUCGUAAGUGGUAAGGUAAGAAGUUCGACAACGGCAAGAGUAACUACACUUUUACCGUAGUACACAACGAUUUAUCCGACAAGAAUGAUACGGAAUUGUCUCAAUUGCUUGGUAUGAUGGUAUCAAAUCAAUUCCAGGUAGUGCUCGUUUUCUUGGAGCCAGCGCUGAUUUCCUUGCAGCUGCUGAUCGCGCUCUUCCCACAAGUUUGGAUUAUCGUAACGACAGCACCUGCUUGGCGGCAAUUAAAAACCAAGGACAGUGCGGGAGCUGUUGGGCAUUUGCUGCUAUUGUUCCGCUCAAGUUUGCUGCGUGUAAGAAAAACAAAUCAUCUGCUGUUGUCCCGUUGAGCGAGCAACAGUUAGUUGAUUGUGAUACAGUGGACGGUGGUUGCAACGGCGGUUUUUUACUGCACAAAUGCUUGGGACUACCAAAAGAAGGCUAACGGUUCUGCAAAAAGCUCGCUCUACGGCUAUACGCUAUACCGCUGUUGU
This is a long non-coding RNA of Daphnia pulicaria, 861 nucleotides long. RefSeq lists it as uncharacterized. The record is from RefSeq and is a predicted model, not a curated record. NCBI's taxonomy places the organism in Eukaryota, Metazoa, Arthropoda, Branchiopoda, Diplostraca, Daphniidae. The transcript is spliced from 7 exons.